Molecule: ribosomal RNA, 401 nt
Filed under: uncultured bacterium
Lineage: Bacteria
Description: bacterial SSU rRNA
Rfam family: Bacterial small subunit ribosomal RNA
Source: RNAcentral
UGGGGAAUAUUGGACAAUGGGGGAAACCCUGAUCCAGCAAUGCCGCGUGAGUGAAGAAGGCCUUAGGGUUGUAAAGCUCUUUCGCCCGCGAAGAUAAUGACGGUAGCGGGAGAAGAAGCCCCGGCUAACUCCGUGCCAGCAGCCGCGGUAAUACGGAGGGGGCUAGCGUUGUUCGGAAUUACUGGGCGUAAAGCGUACGUAGGCGGAUGCGCAAGUUGGGGGUGAAAUCCCGGGGCUUAACCUCGGAAUUGCCCUCAAAACUGCACGUCUUGAGACCGAGAGAAGUAAGGGGAAUUCCUAGUGUAGAGGUGAAAUUCGUAGAUAUUAGGAAGAACACCAGUGGCGAAGGCGCCUUACUGGCUCGGUACUGACGCUGAGGUACGAAAGCGUGGGGAGCAAAC